Molecule: ribosomal RNA, 468 nt
Filed under: Glomus sp. DD-1
Lineage: Eukaryota; Fungi; Glomeromycota; Glomeromycetes; Glomerales; Glomeraceae
Description: SSU rRNA
Rfam family: Eukaryotic small subunit ribosomal RNA
Source: RNAcentral
AAGUUGCUGCAGUUAAAAAGCUCGUAGUUGAAUUUCGGGACUAAUAUGUCGGUCGUGCCUCGGUACGUACUGGCUUAUUGGUUUCUCCUUUCUGAAGAACCAUGAUGUCAUUUAUUUGGUGUCGUGGGGAAUCAGGACUGUUACUUUGAAAAAAUUAGAGUGUUUAAAGCAGGCUCACGCUUGAAUACAUUAGCAUGGAAUAAUGAAAUAGGACGUUUGAUUCUAUUUUGUUGGUUUCUAGGAUCGACGUAAUGAUUAAUAGGGAUAGUUGGGGGCAUUAGUAUUCAAUUGUCAGAGGUGAAAUUCUUGGAUUUAUUGAAGACUAACUACUGCGAAAGCAUUUGCCAAGGAUGUUUUCAUUAAUCAAGAACGAAAGUUAGGGGAUCGAAGACGAUCAGAUACCGUCGUAGUCUUAACCAUAAACUAUGCCGACUAGGGAUCGGAUGAUGUUAAUUUUUUAAUGACUCA